This 262-nucleotide ribosomal RNA is filed under the name uncultured bacterium. Its description in RNAcentral is "partial 16S ribosomal RNA". It matches the Rfam family "Bacterial small subunit ribosomal RNA", at positions 333 to 611 of the family's 1533-position model. The record is from RNAcentral.
CCCCUCCUACGGGGGGCAGCAGUGGGGAAUAUUGCACAAUGGGGGAAACCCUGAUGCAGCGACGCCGCGUGAGUGAAGAAGUAUUUCGGUAUGUAAAGCUCUAUCAGCAGGGAAGAAGAAGGACGGUACCUGAGUAAGAAGCCCCGGCUAACUACGUGCCAGCAGCCGCGGUAAUACGUAGGGGGCAAGCGUUAUCCGGAUUUACUGGGUGUAAAGGGAGCGUAGACGGCUGUGCAAGUCUGAAGUGAAAGCCCAGGGCUCA